GUUUGUUCUGCGUGAUGGCACACCCAGAGUCCCAGUGCUAAGGCUUGAGAGUGCACCGCUGCAGAAACUACACUACAGGGUCCAGGAUGGAACAUCAGUCAUUUACUAUCCCUCAGGUCAAGUUGCCGUGUGUCAGAGUCACUCUGGCUUGGGCUCUGGUGGUUUCUAUACACACGUGUACAGUGAUACAUCCCCAGCAUGUGUUUUGGCAACUGUCACAGCGUUUGGUCAUGGAACUGUCUCACAGCCUCAGAGUGGAGUGAUUUCUUCUGUAUGGGAUCAGAAUGGGGGGAUGAUGUUGGACCCAACUGGGAAAGUGUCCAAGAAGUGGAGCUGGUGCUCGGGCAAAAG
Sardina pilchardus (European sardine) is the source of this 351-nucleotide long non-coding RNA. RefSeq lists it as uncharacterized. Lineage: Eukaryota; Metazoa; Chordata; Actinopteri; Clupeiformes; Clupeidae. The record is from RefSeq and is a predicted model, not a curated record. The transcript is spliced from 3 exons.